GAAUCAGUUAUCCAUUGAUGGGCACUGAAGGGAGAGCCAGAGGGAGGGAGACCCAGGGGGAAGGUACCGAUGCUGCCCUGCAGGAGCUUGCGAGCUGGUGGCAAGGUUCCAAGCCGGAUUGCUUCCCAGAGCAUAAUCUUCAGAACUUGGAAGCUGAGCUCAGCGAGUUGAUUCCUGGCUAAUUACCAACUCUGAUCUGAGGCAAGUUACUUGACCUCUCUAUCUUAGUUUUAUUAUCUAUAAAGUGACAA
RNAcentral lists this long non-coding RNA (251 nucleotides) under Fukomys damarensis (Damara mole-rat). Its description in RNAcentral is "lncRNA (ENSFDAG00000029874.1)". Lineage: Eukaryota; Metazoa; Chordata; Mammalia; Rodentia; Bathyergidae. The record is from RNAcentral.